GAUUUCUGAUGUGACGGGCCUGCCCCGCCGUGGUUACACGUGUGAGUGGCGGGUUCCGUCCGUCUGUCUUCCGUGUGUGUGUGCGGUAUUAGUUCGCUAGUAUCGUACAUUGCACGGAUCUUUUACUUUGAACAAAUUAGAGUGUUUCAAGCAGGCGUCAAGCCCUGAAUACAUGAGCAUGGAAUAAUCACCGAGGACUGAGGUUCUGCGUUGGUUGGUUCGAGAACUGCAGUAAUGAUGGAUAGGGAUAGUUGGGGGUGCUAGUAUUCCGAGGCCAGAGGUGAAAUUCUUGGAUUCUCGGAAGACUCACUUAGGCGAAAGCAUU
RNAcentral lists this ribosomal RNA (325 nucleotides) under uncultured Thaumatomonas. RNAcentral describes it as "bacterial SSU rRNA". The stretch from base 109 to 325 matches the Rfam family "Eukaryotic small subunit ribosomal RNA", at positions 738 to 955 of the family's 1831-position model. Lineage: Eukaryota; Cercozoa; Imbricatea; Thaumatomonadida; Thaumatomastigidae. The record is from RNAcentral.